RNAcentral lists this ribosomal RNA (497 nucleotides) under uncultured bacterium. RNAcentral describes it as "partial 16S ribosomal RNA". It matches the Rfam family "Bacterial small subunit ribosomal RNA", at positions 28 to 507 of the family's 1533-position model. The record is from RNAcentral.
GAUGAACGCUGGCGGCGUGCCUAAUACAUGCAAGUCGAGCGAACAGACGAGGAGCUUGCUCCUCUGACGUUAGCGGCGGACGGGUGAGUAACACGUGGAUAACCUACCUAUAAGACUGGGAUAACUUCGGGAAACCGGAGCUAAUACCGGAUAAUAUAUUGAACCGCAUGGUUCGAUAGUGAAAGACGGUUUUGCUGUCACUUAUAGAUGGAUCCGCGCCGCAUUAGCUAGUUGGUAAGGUAACGGCUUACCAAGGCAACGAUGCGUAGCCGACCUGAGAGGGUGAUCGGCCACACUGGAACUGAGACACGGUCCAGACUACUACGGGAGGCAGCAGUAGGGAAUCUGCCGCAAUGGGCGAAAGCCUGACGGAGCAACGCCGCGUGAGUGAUGAAGGUCUUCGGAUCGUAAAACUCUGUUAUUAGGGAAGAACAAAUGUGUAAGUAACUAUGCACGUCUUGACGGUACCUAAUCAGAAAGCCACGGCUAACUACGUG